Molecule: ribosomal RNA, 440 nt
Filed under: uncultured bacterium
Lineage: Bacteria
Description: partial 16S ribosomal RNA
Rfam family: Bacterial small subunit ribosomal RNA
Source: RNAcentral
CCUACGGGGGGCUGCAGUGGGGGAUAUUGCACAAUGGGGGGAACCCUGAUGCAGCGACGCCGCGUGGGUGAAGAAGCGCCUCGGCGCGUAAAGCCCUGUCAGCAGGGAAGAAAAUGACGGUACCUGACGAAGAAGCCCCGGCUAAAUACGUGCCAGCAGCCGCGGUAAUACGUAGGGGGCAAGCGUUAUCAGGAUUUACUGGGUGUAAAGGGGGCGCAGACGGCGAUGCAAGCCAGGAGUGAAAGCCCGGGGCCCAACCCCGGGACUGCUCUUGGAACUGCGUGGCUGGAGUGCAGGAGGGGCAGGCGGAAUUCCUGGUGUAGCGGUGAAAUGCGUAGAUAUCAGGAGGAACACCGGUGGCGAAGGCGGCCUGCUGGACUGCAACUGACGUUGAUGCCCGAAAGCGUGGGGAGCAAACAGGAUUAGAUACCCCAGUAGUC